UACGGGGGGGGCAAGCGUUGUUCGGAAUUAUUGGGCGUAAAGGGCGCGUAGGCGGUGCGGCAAGUCUCCUGUGAAAUCUCCGGGCUUAACUCGGAGCCUGCAGGAGAAACUGCCGUGCUUGAGUGUGGGAGAGGUGAGUGGAAUUCCGGGUGUAGUGGUGAAAUGCGUAGAUAUCCGGAGGAACACCAGUGGCGAAGGCGGCUACCUGGACCGGAACUGACGCUGAGGCGCGAAAGCGUGGGUAGCAAACAGG
RNAcentral lists this ribosomal RNA (253 nucleotides) under uncultured bacterium. RNAcentral's name for it is "partial 16S ribosomal RNA". It matches the Rfam family "Bacterial small subunit ribosomal RNA", at positions 524 to 776 of the family's 1533-position model. The record is from RNAcentral.